This is a long non-coding RNA of Mytilus californianus (California mussel), 2501 nucleotides long. RefSeq lists it as uncharacterized. The record is from RefSeq and is a predicted model, not a curated record. The transcript is spliced from 2 exons. NCBI's taxonomy places the organism in Eukaryota, Metazoa, Mollusca, Bivalvia, Mytilida, Mytilidae.
AGUUUUUAAAGUAGUUCACUUCAUAAAAAAAUAAAAUGCUUCGCUGGGCGCAGCUUGAUACGACCGCAGAGGUCGAACCCUGAACAGUUGGGGCAAGUAUGGACACAACAUUCAAGCUUGAUACAGCUCUGAAUUUGGAUUGUAAUUAAAUAUUUGACACAGCAUAGGUUUCUGACACAGAAUGAAUGUGGUCUAAGAACUUAAAAAUUUUAAAUUGGACAUUCACUUAUUAUGGUCCAAUAUCCAAAAUCUAAAUACAUGGUUAGAUUCAGCAUAUCAAAGAACCCCAAGAAUUCAAUUUUUGAUGAAAUCAAACAAAGUUUAAUUUUGGACCCUUUUGAUCUCAAUGUGGACAAAGUUGAUAACAGGGCCCAAAAAUCAAAAAUCUAAAUACAUGGUUAGAUUCAGCAUAUCAAAGAACCCCAUAUAUUCAAUUUUUGUUGAAAUCAAACAAAGUUUAAUUUUGGACCCCGAUUUGGACCAACUUGAAAACUGGGCCCAUAAUCAAAACUCUAAACACAUGUUUAGAUUCAGCAUAUCAAAGAACCCUAAAAAUUCAAUUUUUGUUAAAAUCAAACUAAGUUUAAUUUUGGACCCUUUGCACCUUUAUGUAGACCAAUUUGAAAACGGAACCAAAAAUUAAGAAUCUAAAUACGUGGUUAGAUUCUGCAUAUCAAAGAACCCCAAUAAUUCAAUUUUUGAUAAAAUCAAACAAAGUUAAAUUUUGGACCCUUUGGACCUCAAUGUGGACCAAUUUAAAAACGGGGCCCAAAAUCCAAAAACUUAAUACACGGUUAGAUUCAGCAUAUGAAAGAACCCCAUAUAUUCAAUUUUUUUAUUGAAAUCAAACAAAGUUUAAUUUUGGACCCCGAUUUGGACCAACUUGAAAACUGGGCCCAUAAUCAAAAAUCUAAAUACAUGGUUAGAUUCAGCAUAUCAAAGAACUACAUAUAUUCAAUUUUUGUUGAAAUCAAACAAAGUUAAAUUUUGAACCCCGAUUUGGACCAACUUGAAAACUGGGCCCAUAAUCAAAAAUCUAAAUGCAUGGUUAGAUUCAGCAUAUCAAAGAACCCCAUAUAUUCAAUUUUUGUUGAAAUCAAACUAAGUUUAAUUUUGGACCCUGUGGACUUUUAUGUAGACCAAUUUGAAAACGGAACCAAAAAUUAAGAAUCUAAAUACAUGGUUAGAUUCGGCAUAUCAAAGAACCCCAAUAAUUCAAUUUUUGAUGAAAUCAAACAAAGUUAAAUUUUGGACCCUUUGGACCUCAAUGUGGACCAAUUUAAAAACGGUGCCCAAAAUCCAAAAACUUAAUACAUGGUUAGAUUCAGCAUAUUAAAGAACCCCAAGAAUUCAAGAAUAAAACCCCAUUGAAAUUGAUCAAGAAAUAAGCAACUUAUACGAAGUAUAUUCUUUUGCACAAUACUGUGCAAUUGAAUAUUUCUUGCUAUUGCGCAAUACUGUACAAUUGACAAUUUCUUGCUAUUGCGCAAUAUUGUGCUAUUGGAUAUUUCUUGCUAUUGCGCAAUACUGUGCAAUUGAAGAUUUCUUGCUAAUGCGCAAUACUGUGCAAUUGAAGAUUUCUUGCUAUGGUGCAAUACUGUGCAAUUGAAAAUUUCUUGCUAUUGCACAAUACUUAUUGUAUAAUAAUUUACACAUCCUGUUUGGUGUGUAUCUCCUUCCAUAUCAUUAUUAUUUGCUUUUAAAUAUAAAUCAGAAAUAACCAACUUAAAAUGGAAAAUUUUAAAAGAAAAUAAAAGGAAAAAAAGAAGAAAAAAAAAUCCCCCCCCCCAAAUUUUUUGAACCCCCUUAUGAUUCAUCACCCCCAAACUCAAUCCCAGCCUUCCCUUUGUGGUAUGGUACCUUGCAGUACAAUUUCAGAGAGAUCCAUACACUUGAACACAAGUUAUUGUCUGGAAACUAGAAAAAUGCUUAUUUUUGGCCCCUUUUUGGCCCCCAAUUCCUAAACGUUUCAGGCAAUUACCCCCAAACUCAAUUCCAGCUUUCCCUUUGUGAUAUGGAACCUUGUAGUACAAUUUAAGAAAUAUCCGAACACUUACACACAAGUAAUUGUCAUGAAACUAGAAAAAUGCUUGUUUUUUUCCCCUUUUUUGGCCCCUAAUUCCUAAAAUUUUGAGGCAAUUACCCCCAAAAUCAAUUACAGCCUUCCCUAUGUGAUAUGGAACCUUGUGGUACAAUGUCUGAGAGAUCCAUUCACUUACACACAAGUUAUUGUCUGGAAGUUACAAAAAUGCUUAUUUUUGGCCCCUUUUUGGCCCCUAAUUCCUUAACUGUUGGUACCAUAACCCCCAAAAUCAAUCCCAACCUUCCUUUCGUGGUAUUGAACCUUAUGGUAAAAUUUCAUAGAGAUCCAUUCACUUAAACUAAAGUUAGAGUGCGAAAACCAAUGUGUCUUCGGACGACGCCGGACGACGACGACGACGACGCCAACGUCAUACCAAUAUACGACCAAAAAUUUUUUAAUUUUUGCGGUCGUAUAAAAA